Long non-coding RNA from Balaenoptera ricei (Rice's whale), 2598 nucleotides. RefSeq lists it as uncharacterized. The record is from RefSeq and is a predicted model, not a curated record. NCBI's taxonomy places the organism in Eukaryota, Metazoa, Chordata, Mammalia, Artiodactyla, Balaenopteridae. The transcript has 3 exons.
ACAUGUCAGAAAGACUUUGGUCUCUGUAGCCAUCCCACUUGAAGGCAGGGAUUUCAAGGUUGCAAACCUGAGUGACCAGAAGAAUAGCGGUAUCACUAACAGACAGCAAGGUGGGGAAGAGAACUUCAGUUCUCAACGUACUGAGUUAGAGGUCAUGGCUCAAUGUUCAAGUGGCAGACAGAGAUGGGUUGGGUGUCUGGGAGAUGCGGAGGAAACCUUAGCACAGGUAAGGGUUGGAGCCAGGAGAAUGAACGAGCUCUCCAGGGGGAGGGUAGAGAGACACAGUGUGUGGGGACUGAGCCAGGAUGGGGGAACAAGAAAGUCAGCAGAUGAAACAGGUCCUGCAUCAUCCAUCAUUUAAAUAGAGAGGCUUGUUUAAGUGGUCCCAGAAUCACCAGGUUUUACAGAGUUCUCCUUUUGCUUUUGUUGGGUAGAACCGAUCCUUGAUUGUGUGUCCUUAAAAGGCAAGCACAAGUCUUUUUGUAAUUUUGUGUAGUCUUCCUCAACUUAAGAUGGGGUUAAGUCCCAAUAAACACAUCAUAAGUUGAAAAUAUCAUAAGUUAAAAAUGCAUUUAAUACACCUAACCUACUGAACAUAAGAGCUUAGCCCAACCUACCUUAAACAUGCUCAGAACACUUCCAUUAGCCUACACUUGGGCAAAAUCAUCUAACACAAAGCCUAUUUUUAUAUAAAGUGUCAAAUAUCUCAUGUAAUUUGUUGAGUACUGUACUGAAAGUGAAAGACGGAAUGGUUGUCAGUGUGUCAGUUGUUUACCCUCGUGAUUUCAUGGUUGACUCGGAGCUGCCUUGCCCAGCAUCACAAAAGAGUAUCACAGUGCAUAUUACUAGGUUGGGAGAAGAUCAAAAUUCAAAAAUCAAAGUGCGGUGUCUACUGAAUGCGUGUUUUCGCACCACUGUAAAAUCUAAAAAUCGUCAGUCAAACCAUCGUUAAGUCGGGGACUGUCUAUAUAAUAUUUAAUGUCCUGUUUUCCUGAUAGUGAAAGUGGUAUUACAGAAAACCUGUGCCUCCAAAGGAUUCCUGAUUUUGUUAGAAUGAUACCCUUCCCCCUAAAUCAAUGAUGGCUUGCCACUUGAAAACAUUCAACAGAUUCUUUUUUUAAACAAAGUCAUUCAGGUGGGAUGAUAAGAUUUUCUCUGAGGCUAGCACUGGUGCCUGCCUCCGUUCUUGGGCAUCCAGUUGAGGCACGCUAGCCUUGUGUGGCCUUAUCCAUCCUUCUAGGCUCUCAGCUCUGACCAAGCCUUGCUCAGAGCCAGGCUGUCUGUUUCCCUGACUACCUGGGACCUGGGGCAUGUGACAUGGUGUGGCUCUGAUAAUGGAAGCAGACUGGCACUGUGGAGCUAGGAACAAGGAAAGCCUUCUAGCACCCAAUCAGUCAAUCAGUCAAUCAAUCAAUCAAAAAAGACAAAGGAGAAAACCAAACACCAUCCUGCGAACUUGUCCACUAUUGGAACUUACCCAAUGCUGAUUGUGGAGGGAAGCCAGAGGGUCACAACCUAGAGGCCCAGCAGAAGAAAACCUCAGAGACAUUGUUUCUGGAACCCGGGGCUGCUCAGCAAUUGGGGCAGGAGUUUCUGGAACUCCCUCUGGUCCUCCUCCCAGUGAAGGGCAGGAGGUCGUGGGUGCCAGGGCGGAAAUGGUAGGUCGGAUGGGAGUGCGGUCCGGAGAGCCAGAAAGUUCUGUUCAUUGUCCUUCCCCCUGUCCAGUGCCCCUCUCCCUCCAUUUGACCCUGGCUGGUCUGCAGGUGGGUCGUGGGACCCCUCUGCCUCUGGUCACCCAGGAUGCUAGGUCAGGGGAGCACAGGGCUUAGGGUGCCACCCAGGUGCGUUGGGAGGAGGAGCUCUCUGCCUUCUUUCCUCUCGAGGUCUCAGUCAAAAGAAUUGUGUUCAAAUCCUGAUGGCUCCCUGUGUGACUGUGGCUUUGGGCAGGUCAUUUAACCCUUCUAAGCCACAUUCAGUCCCAGCACAGGGUCUGGAGCCUAAUAGGUCCUUGAAAGUGUAUUUGUUGAGUGAACGAAUGAACAAAGGAAUGCUUCCCCAUCUCUAUUGUGGGGAUAAUCGAAUUGGCACCAAGGAUGCUUUGGGGGGCAGAAUGCCAACAAGAUGCUGGUGUGGCAGAACUUUGUAAACUCUCAAGCCUUCUACAGUUACGUGAGAUAAAGGUGUGGGAAGAUGGAAAUGGGUGUGGAGCCGCAGGGCUGGGCUUCUCCCAGGAGAGCAGAGCCGGAGACUGUGGCCUCAGGAGAGGUGCAGAGCAGCCAGAGAGGAUGAUGGUCCCAUCUCUCCUGCUAAAGAAUUCUGCAGGAAAUGCCCACUGUUCCUCAAACCCCCUCCCGGGGUGCUCAGUUUAAACUCUAGACGUGCUCAGGAUUAUCUCUAGAAUAUUAAACAUGGGGAGAGGAGGAUCCUGGGCUUUAUCACCAGCUUCGCCCGGCUCCUGCCAAGUGAGGUGAAACGGCCCUGCUCCAGCUCAUGGCAGGGUCACGGCCUCCUCGCCCUGCUGGAGCUCAUCCUCUUCCCAAGGCCUGGCUUCCUGCUGGGACCCAUCCCCCUGCCAUGGCAUAUGUGUCACUUUGGCUC